Molecule: long non-coding RNA, 103 nt
Organism: Myotis brandtii (Brandt's bat)
Lineage: Eukaryota; Metazoa; Chordata; Mammalia; Chiroptera; Vespertilionidae
Exons: 3
Source: RefSeq, a predicted model, not a curated record
GCCCGCAACCAAGAAAAAUCUGGAAAUAGAAGAGGCUGCCUCCUUAGCGCCCAUGCUAGGGAAUAUUUUUGUGACUUUUAGAAGGUUACAACGUAGAAGGGUG